CAGUGAUAAACAAGGCAGCAGAACCCAGAGAGUGACAGGUCUUGAAAUGCUCUUUCGUGUCAGUACGAGCACAGUGGAGGGCACAGAUUAGCCUUGUCCUCACUGGUGCCUCCAUUUCUGCGGGGUAAAAGAAUCGUUGCUCCACUCAGCCCUGUGGACCUAGGAAAUCAACAACUCAGGGCCAAAGACCCUUGCAGUCAACAAAAACAAGCCUCACCUCCCCACCUCCUGCCAGAGAAACUUGGUGUAUGUGUGCAGGAAAUUUAGACGAGAAACCAACAUGUAGUAUGUGCUCAGUGCGACUCCAGUUUUCUGUCGCCUGACAUCUCCCCUGAGCAACAUCAGUCACAGCCAUUCGCUUCAUCUGGAAGAGAUGAAACCUAACCAGAAGCUGCUCAAGAGACGAGGCACCUUCCCUAGGUCAAAGUCAGCUGCCGUGUGUCCUGGGAAUCUGUUCUGCUUGAAGACAUCGUGAUUGGAGGUUGAGAGGUGCAUGGGGAGCAAGAACGACACAAUUUUAAUUUGCACUUUGGGCUUUUACAGAAAACAUAUUCCACUGGAUCUGACUGAAAUGCCAUUUGAAUAUAUACAGAAUGGAAAUCUGAACAAAAUCACAUUUGUUCAUGAAUUCUUUUUAUAAUGCCAAACACAAACUUGACUUAGAAAGGGCAAGCUGAUCUGUCACUCUGGGGAUUUGAAUAUAUGCCCAGGCUAAUCAUCCUGCCCAUGACGAUAGUGGCUCGUAUAACAGCCCCUGGUCUCCCUGCUCCCUCCCCAAGCCCUUGCUGCAUCAGUUUUGGGGGUGAUGCCUGUUAAAGUGGUCAUGUGGGCCCAGCUGGUAUUUCCCCCUUCUGCCUGGAUGAGCAGUUGGCCAAACUAUGGGCUUUCAGUGACCGGGGCCAGAGUUUCUCCCAGGGUAAUGGACAAGAGGCACGGAAAAAAUGUUUCCACCUACUUCUGUCCUUAUCACAGCUGCACUUGCCAUUGAUGGGUGAUGGAUUUUACCACAGACACAAAGUCAUGCUUUAUGAAGUUAUUCUCGUUGUACCCUACAAGCAGGGAUUCUCCCGGGUGUUGAUGCGUCUGGGCAAGCCCAGUAUCUCAGGUCCCUGGUUGUCAUGUCAGUGCCAUCCAUUUCUACUUUCCCGAAGUCCAGAAACAUUUAGCCCAUGCUCCAGGGAGAUGGAGGGCCAAGGGAAGAACGCGACCCUACCGCCGAUAAACUGUGCACUCUGAAACACUGUGUUUAAUUCCUCAGAACCUCAGUCUUCAUCUAUACGUACUUACCCAGCUUACAGGAGAAAACACGCGGGGCCCUUCUUGAAUUUGCAUGUCAGUCACUCAUUCAAAUUCUUAUUAAAAGUUUUCU
Molecule: long non-coding RNA, 1369 nt
Organism: Fukomys damarensis (Damara mole-rat)
Lineage: Eukaryota; Metazoa; Chordata; Mammalia; Rodentia; Bathyergidae
Exons: 3
Source: RefSeq, a predicted model, not a curated record